UACGAAGGGGGCUAGCGUUGCUCGGAAUCACUGGGCGUAAAGCGCACGUAGGCGGAUUGUUAAGUCAGGGGUGAAAUCCUGGAGCGCAACUCCAGAACUGCCUUUGAUACUGGCAAUCUCGAGUCCGGGAGAGGUGAGUGGAACUGCGAGUGUAGAGGUGAAAUUCGUAGAUAUUCGCAAGAACACCAGUGGCGAAGGCGGCUCACUGGCCCGGUACUGACGCUGAGGUGCGAAAGCGUGGGGAGCAAACAGG
This 253-nucleotide ribosomal RNA is filed under the name uncultured bacterium. RNAcentral's name for it is "partial 16S ribosomal RNA". It matches the Rfam family "Bacterial small subunit ribosomal RNA", at positions 524 to 776 of the family's 1533-position model. The record is from RNAcentral.